RNAcentral lists this ribosomal RNA (254 nucleotides) under uncultured bacterium. RNAcentral describes it as "partial 16S ribosomal RNA". It matches the Rfam family "Bacterial small subunit ribosomal RNA", at positions 524 to 776 of the family's 1533-position model. The record is from RNAcentral.
UACAGAGGGGGCAAGCGUUAUUCGGAAUUAUUGGGCGUAAAGGGCGCGUAGGCGGUCCUUCAAGUCUCUCGUGAAAUCCCUCGGCUUAACUGAGGACGUGCGGGAGAUACUGCUGGGCUUGAGUCCGGAAGAGGGUGGUGGAAUUCCCAGUGUAGCGGUGAAAUGCGUAGAUAUUGGGGAGGAACACCGGUGGCGAAGGCGGCCACCUGGGCCGGAACUGACGCUGAGGCGCGAAAGCGUGGGGAGCAAACGGG